This 286-nucleotide ribosomal RNA is filed under the name uncultured prokaryote. Its description in RNAcentral is "partial 16S ribosomal RNA". It matches the Rfam family "Bacterial small subunit ribosomal RNA", at positions 524 to 819 of the family's 1533-position model. The record is from RNAcentral.
UACGUAGGUGGCAAGCGUUAUCCGGAUUUACUGGGUGUAAAGGGCGUGUAGGCGGUUCUGCAAGUCGGGUGUGAAAUUUCCGGGCUUAACCCGGACGGGUCACCCGAAACUGCGGAACUUGAGUACUGGAGAGGAUAGUGGAAUUCCUAGUGUAGCGGUAAAAUGCGUAGAUAUUAGGAGGAACACCAGUGGCGAAGGCGAUUCUCUGGACUGUAACUGACGCUGAGGCUCGAAAGCGUGGGGAGCAAACAGGAUUAGAUACCCGGGUAGUCCCUGAGCGGGCUGG